This 250-nucleotide ribosomal RNA is filed under the name uncultured bacterium. Its description in RNAcentral is "partial 16S ribosomal RNA". It matches the Rfam family "Bacterial small subunit ribosomal RNA", at positions 524 to 773 of the family's 1533-position model. The record is from RNAcentral.
UACGUAGGAGGCGAGCGUUAUCCGGAAUUAUUGGGCGUAAAGAGCGCGCGGGCGGCCGGGUAAGUCAGAUGUGAAAUCUCCUGGCUUAACUAGGAGGCGACAUUUGAGACUGCCUGGCUUGAGGACAGCAGAGGGAGAUGGAAUUCCCGGUGUAGUAGUGAAAUACGUAGAUAUCGGGAGGAACACCUGUGGCGAAGGCGGUCUUCUGGGCUGUUUCUGACGCUGAGGCGCGAAAGCGUGGGGAGCAAAC